This 1380-nucleotide long non-coding RNA is filed under the name Lupinus angustifolius (narrow-leaved blue lupine). RNAcentral's name for it is "long non-coding RNA (LANG_LNC003198)". Lineage: Eukaryota; Viridiplantae; Streptophyta; Magnoliopsida; Fabales; Fabaceae. The record is from RNAcentral.
UUUUUAUGGAACACGUGAACCGCUGAAGCUCUCUGUUUUCGCGGCUGCUUCCACUUCCGACCAGAGAUCCUGCCGGCGAUAACGCCGUCGUAGGUAGGGGAUCCGAAAACCGGCUUGUCGGGAUUCUCCGAUGACGCGAUCGCUGACCUCUUCGCUGGAGGAGGGAGAGUGUCAACCAAGCAGGAUCCAGAGGAGUCUCUAAAAAUACCACCCCCUCCAGGAUAACCAGGAGACCCAGGAUUUGAGUGUAUGAUGGAAUCUUAGUGUAAUUAUCCAUUCUUAAUAACAAGUCUCUACAGCCCAAACAACCAUGCAUUUUGUGUUUUUUUUUCACAAUAAACAGGUGUGUUGUUCAUUAUAUGCAAUUAAAAAGUCAGCCAAUGUAGGAGACUAUCACCAAAUGGGGUCUGGAAAUGGCAAAUGUACUUAACCUUACCCCGGGUAUUUCCAAGGUUUGACCCUUUGACCCUAUCGUCACUACAUAGGCACACAACUAAAUCACACAAAUUUGCAUGGCGAAUUCGAUAAGCAAAUCUGCAUAGUGAAUUCGAUAAGCAAAUCUGCAUAGUGAAUUUGAUAAGCAAAUCUGCAUACCGAAUUCGAUAAGCAAAUAUGCAAAUCCAUAACAUAUUUGUCUUUGCAACCCUGUAAGGUUUCAGUAUUGCUGACCAAAAAAUUUCAUCCAAGCGCGAAUUUUCUUCAUCCAGCUAGAGAUUAAUCAGACCAAUGCAACUAACAAAACUAAAAUUGAGUACCAAAAGAAAUAACAUCAAUUCCAAACACAACUAUAGAAUCUCAAAAUUACAAAAUUCUAAAAUUCUCUUCAACUAUAUCAUUCAUAAAUCAAAACUUCAAUUCAUAAAACAACAAAAAACCAAUAAACAAAAACAAAAAACAUCAUUACUUCUUCAGAAAAUCAUCAGGAACAACCUUAAGCUGCUUCCUCUGUUUAGACUUAGCAAUCUUCUUCAAAGUAUUAGGAUUAGUAAUCUUCUGAAACCUAGUUCCAGAUUUCAAAACAUUUUCUUGCUUCUUCUUCUCCCUCUCUUCUCUCUUCUUCCUCUUCUCAACCUUGUUCAAUCGAAUCUCCUCUUUCAACUCCGUAAUUCUCUCCUUAUACGCUUUCUUUAUCUGCUUCUCCCUAUCUCUCUCUUCAAACGUCGUCUUUUUAUGGAACACGUGAACCGCUGAAGCUCUCUGUUUUCGCGGCUGCUUCCACUUCCGACCAGAGAUCCUGCCGGCGAUAACGCCGUCGUAGGUAGGGGAUCCGAAAACCGGCUUGUCGGGAUUCUCCGAUGACGCGAUCGCUGACCUCUUCGCUGGAGGAGGGAGAGUGUCGUCGGUUUCCAUUGAAACGGUUUCAUCGUUGUUGGCGGCGGC